CGGGAUGUAGCUCAGUUGGUAGAGUACUGGUCUGGGGGACCAGGGGUCGCUGGUUCAAGUCCAGUCAUCCCGA
Molecule: transfer RNA, 73 nt
Filed under: Aureispira sp.
Lineage: Bacteria; Pseudomonadati; Bacteroidota; Saprospiria; Saprospirales; Saprospiraceae
Also listed under: 1 other name
Description: tRNA-Pro
Rfam family: tRNA
About the family: Transfer RNA (tRNA) molecules are approximately 80 nucleotides in length. Their secondary structure includes four short double-helical elements and three loops (D, anti-codon, and T loops).
Source: RNAcentral